UACUAUUAUAGAUAGCGAUAAACUGUAAACAGCAAUAAUGUUCAGCAAAGUAAGAUCUACAAAUAAGUCAACAUAACUUAAAUGGUCAAUUGACCCCUUAAGGAGUUAUUGCCCUUUAUAGUCAAUUUUUAACAAUUUUCAUUAAUUUGGUAAAUUUAUGUAAAUUUUUACCAAAUAUAGUUCUCUGUUACUAACGGGCAAAGUUCAUUAUAGAUAUAAUUGUAAGAAGCAAAAUCGUUCAGUAAAGUAAGAACUUCAAACACAUCACCAUCACCAAAAUACAAUUUUGUCAUGAAUCCAUUUGUGUCCUUUGUUUAAUAUGCACAUAGACCAAGGUGAGCGACACAGGCUCUUUAGAGCCUCUAGUUUGUUUUACUUUAUAUAUUUAUUCAUCAUGUUGAAAUGUACUAACAUUAUAUACAAUAUAUAAAAUUUAACAAACUUACAUUAUAUAAGAUGGCAACAUAUUGCUUAUUAAACAUAUAAUUGAUAGAAAUUAAACAUUAAAUAAAAGUUUGCUUUUAAAAAGCUUUGUUUACAUGAGACAAUCCAAUAAAAUUUACGUUAACUAGACAUUAUUCUAUUAUUUCUCUCCUCCAGAUAAGAGAGACAUAGUUUAAGAAUGAUUUCUUCUAUUUAAUGGUCUUCCCAUACAACUGGGGCCUAUGUGAGAGUUGUCUUAGUAGUUUAACUUCUGUUAUCAUUAGUCAGUCAACACUGAUAUUUUGAGUUCGAACCCUUCUCGUGCGUGUGCAUUCAACUCUAAUCUUCAUUGACUAGGAUUGUUACAUUUCUUAUUUAAGGUCAGUGGUUUUCUUUGACUGCUGCUUCCUACUCCAAUUAAAACUGGCCGCAAUUAAAUAGCAGAAUAGUGCUGAAAGUGGCGUUAAACACCAAUCAAUCUUAUACAACCUGGUGAGGCUGCUAUUUUGUAACUUUUAGAGUAGUUUUUGGUAUGGAGGUGUAUCACCAUAUAACUGUCAACAUACAGGUUAAGUUAAUGAAUUAUCUGAGGAAGAAAAGACUCAAAGCCAACAAAUUGUAAAUAGAUAAUUAUCAUUGACAACCUCUCGUACUGUUACAGUCGUCUUAAACUCCUAUGCUUAAAGACAAUGGCCUAAAUGGUAAUAUGUUAUUUUAAUUCAAUUAUAGUCUUUUUUAUAAGAAUUGUUCUUACUUAUUUACUGAUGGAGUUUAUUAAUAUGUUUUAGCUCUUUGUUAAAGUUAUUAAUGUUGAUUAUGAUAAUUUUAUUGUUGUGCCAUAUGUUUAAGAUGGUCCAGUUGUUGGUCAUUGUGGACCUUUAUUUUCUCUGUGUAUGAUAUAAAAUGUCUUUUAACACUUGUACUCAUCACUAAAGGCUCGUGAAAAUGUCUCAGACUAUCCAUUCUGGACAAAAUUUUCCAACUGUGAAAUCCAACAAGUAUACUAUAUUUUUUUUUUUUUAAUUAGACGAACAGACAGUCUAAAGAUCUCAUUACAAUAUUUUCAGUUUAUUUUUACAAUUGCCAAUUUUACUUUUCAUAAUCACAAAUUUCCCAUUAGCUUAAAGGGCUUCCUUGACCUGUUGAACCCUUAAAAUUCCCACCUCAUUUGCAGAAACUAUAACUACUUGUCUCCCCUUACGUAUGUUUGUGUCUCAUGUGCCCCUCUGGAAUUACGUUGAUAAAGUUAUAACAUCAGUGAUUCCCGGUGAGAAGAUUUCAUUUUUUAUAUAUGACAAUUUUUGUCCCAUUAUUGUUUUGUAAUGAAAUACAAUACCAGAUUUUGAGAAAGGGUUUCCAUUUUCAGAUUCUCAGGAAAGUGAAUGUGUUCUGAUAGUGUAGAAAAAUGUAUCGGUUGUUAUGUUUAAUGUAGAGUGUUCUGAGUACAAAAACUUGUGAAUGGAAGGAAAACUUGUAUUGUAUGUACAUAUGCCUGCUACAUACAUGUAUUUGCUUUGAUCACAUAUUAAAAAUAACACGUUCAAUAUUAGAAUUCAGUGUAUUUGAUAUUCAUGUUGCUAUCAGCAGGAAUAAGUUACUGUGGAUUCAUUUAUUAUCGUGGGUGUCAAUUUUUGUGGUUUGUCUUGUCUUGUCUCCGUAUGAAGCUCCUUUAAAUAGGAGCACCACCAGGAGUUAUGGCGUAUAAAGGAGGACAUUUGGAGCCUGCAUCGAUACAGAUUAAUGUGAGCAUUUGCCUACCCAAUUCCCCAACCAGGCCGUGACGGGUCUUAUUACCAGAAAGUUAACCUUCCCCAAACAUGAUACAAUGCAAUCAAAUAAAUAAUACUAAGAAAAACUUGUGUUUUUGUGGAUAUUUGAUUUUGUGGUUUUGCCAAUCACUUCAUACAAAGCCUAUAGAAAGUUUGUUAUUCGUUAAACAUUUGACCAAUGAAACCCAAGAAAAUUGGUAUCCAACGAAUUUUAAUGAAUCCACAGUGGUACAUGUCUCAGGUUGUAUAGAAUAUAACUGAUUCUCUGGUUACAUAGAUGCCUUAAAACAUGACAGGUAUGAUAGUCAAACAUCUUUUUAAUCAUAGAUGUUUAUUUACAUUACCAAAGUUCACUUCUUUCAUAAUGAGUAUUACUUAACACAUAUGAAUUUCAGUCAUAUUUAAAGUAACGACAAAGAAAUUAAAUGUUUUAUCCUAUUCUAAAAUAGUUUCAAGCAGAUCAAUUAUUGUCUUACAUUUGCCCUAAUAUCAAUAUUUAGUAUUAUUGAUCAAUAUCAGUGUUUUGUGUUGAUGUAUUUUGACCAUAUAUGUAUUGAGUGUUUUUUGACAAAUGUGAUACAUGUACAUUACUAUUUUUUUUAAAUGUUUACAAUUAUGCUUGCUAUUAGAAUUAUCUUGUUAACGCAAUUGUGCUUGAUAAUACAAGUUAUAUUGUUUGCUAAUACACAUUAUAUUGUUUGCAGUUGUGCUUCUUAUACAAAUUAUAUUGUUUACAGUUGCGCUUGCUAAUACAAAUUGUUUACCAUAUUAUUUUAAGAAUUGUCAGUCAAGAAGCAUUAGUUUUGAAUCUACAGCCUGCACUAUUUUUUUUCAUUAUAGCUCACUUCUAUUUUUGCAAAGGGCUGUUCCAAAAAUAAAUGUAUGUGGGGGUGGUGGGGUGUCAGGAGGCACUUUUUGUUUGACCCCACCAUACAUUUAUUUUUAAUUGGAUAUUUCCUUUAAAUAUACAAGCAAGCUUUCUUAAAUAUCCACCAUCUAUAAAUACUUUCCACUUUUUACAUUGUAUUAAAUUCUCAUAAAAUUUUCACUCAUGAGCCUCCAAAGUUGUAAAGUUGCUGAAAAAUGUGUAUCAUCUUUGACAAUUUUGAACAUGCUUCCUCGACUUUAAUCAUUUUAUAUCUUGACUGGCGUUAAUUACAUCAAUGCAUAUCAGUACUGUUCAACACAGAACAUACAUACAUUUAUUUUUAAUUGGAUAUUUCCUUUAAAUAUACAAGCAAGCUUUCUUAAAUAUCCACCAUCUAUCAAAUUUUAAUGAUGUUUUUGCAGAGAUUUAUAAUCUAUGUUGCUUAAGACCUAGUUAGUUAUGUAUUUCUCAGAUAGUUAUUCUAAAUGUUGUGUCUGAGAACAAGAUAUUGGUCUAAACUGUGAAUUAUUUUUUAUAUAUAUCAUUUUAUCAUGUGAUAUUUUUGCUAGUCAUUUUGAUUUUGUUUUCUUUUUUAUUGACAAGACUAGAAUCGUGUUUUUAACACUGAAUUCCCAUUUUUUGACUGGGAACAGAACAUAUACAUCACCAUUAAAUUUAUCCACCAGUUUGUUAAUCAUAAGCUAAAUGCUUAACUUGAAAGAAAAAAGCACAAAGAAGAUGGCACAUUUUGCCGAGAAAAAACAUCAGAAGAUAUGAAUUUUUUUUUGCAAACACCAGAACAUUAAGAUAGUAUACAUAAUUAAGACAAAUAAGUGCUUAGAAUUAACAAAAACACACUGAAAUUCAAGUCAACAGUCUUUUGAAAAGAUUGACAGUUUAUAAAUAAACAGUAUUAAACAUUUUAUUUAAAUUUUAUAAGAUGACUUAAACUACAAUCAUUCAUGUACUUAAGAAAGUUUGUAAUAGAAUUGUUUUUCUAAUUUUUAUUGCAAUUAUGCUUAGACAUAGUCUUACGUAAAUUUCUUCUUCAUUCCAUGAAUUUAUAAAGCUUUUUUUUUCUGUACAAUUGCGUUUUAAACUUUUGCUAAAACUAAGUAAAACAUAAGACUUACGCACUAGUACACUAAAAGACUAUGUUAUUAGUAUUGAAAGGAUCACAAGUCUAAAAACUUUGAAAAAAGCAUGUAGUUCUGUGGAUCUGUUUAUUUGUGUGUGCACUAAUUUUCAUAAUUUUAGAGAAAAUUGGAAAUUUUGUGAAUUUUUAAUUUCUACGUUUUAUUGCCUAAAAGCCUACACCCAGAAACUCAUUUUAGUGAUUACAUUUGGUCAAUAACAUUACACAUAUGGUGCACUGUAAAUAUUGUUCCCUUUAACCAAUUGAUUAGGCUCAAGUAUCUUUUAAUCCUUGUAGGAAAAGCUUUUGCUUAGCUAUCCUGUAUUACCAGAGAGUCAUUUAUUUUGUAUUGCCUUUCAACUUGGUAAACAAAAUUUAUUAUUUCCAUGUAAAUUGUUGUCCAUUAUUUUGGUUCGUUUGGGAUACAUUUGCUUUAUUUUGUUUGCUGUAUUUUUGUAACAAAUCUGUCAUGUAAAAUUCCAGUUUAUAAGUUAAAAGAUAGUAUAUCAUACCAUGAUAUUCAGUGAUUUAAUGGUUAAGGGUACAUGCUUUGGUAGAGAUUUAGGGGCAAAAACAGUUGAAAGAAGAAAUUAUUGUGUGCAUUUAUUUUUGUGAUUUUUGUAGAAAGGACAACAAUGCGAGAUUUAUUAUUGUGAUUUCAGGAAAAUCUGUGUACUAAUAAGGGGGUCUCAUUGGGGGGUUCCGAUCCCGGAUCCCGCUUACUGUUUUGUCAGAUUCCCGUAUCCCGCUUACACUAUGUACGUAAGCAAUUCUCAUUUUUUUUGUCAUUUCCCAGGUCCCCCUAGACCUCAUUUCCCGUUUUCACGACACAGUAAUUUGACUUUCCCGUGUCACGCUUACCAAAAAUCGGCAAUCCCGCGUCACGCUUAGACCCCAAUGAGACCCACUAAUAAUGUAUCAGAUAUCAGAAUGUGAGUUCUUAUUGAGUGACUAUCAUCUGAUUACAUAAUUCAUAAUAAUGAAAACAUCAUGGAGACACAAUAAUUUACAAAAUUUCCAAUACUUGAUAUCAAUACAGUGUUAUUGUUAUUUGAAAUACAGUGUAACCUGUAUUAUCUAACACACUAGGAGACCAGGAAGAAAUGUUGAAUUAAACAGGGUGUCAUAAUACUCCGUUUUUUUUUGCAUGGAUAGGCAUUUUUUUUUGGACCAUAAAAAUGUGUUAGUUAAAGCAAGAUGUUGGAAUACUCAGGUGUUGGAUUAAGCAGGUUACACUGUAAUAUAAACAAGUAGAAUGGUAUUGAUUUAUUUUACCAUGUUAUUUUAUCUCUGUUUUGCUAUUGUAAGGAACCAGACAAGUGUAGUGCAAUGAAAGAGUAUUUUUGUUCUUUUAAGUAGUCUCCCUUAUGCACAGUUCUUUGAAGAUUAAGAUUAGGACAAAACAAAGUCCUCUAUAUAAUGAAUGUGUAUUAUGGAGUAGUUAUUCACAGUUAUGAAUAAGGAAUCUGUAUUGUAAUAAACAAAGUUGGUACAGUAAUGUUAUUUGUAAACAAUCAUGCAUAAAGAUGUAAAUUUUAACUGAUUGAGCUAAUAAAACAUCAUUU
This 5760-nucleotide long non-coding RNA is filed under the name Mytilus galloprovincialis (Mediterranean mussel). Lineage: Eukaryota; Metazoa; Mollusca; Bivalvia; Mytilida; Mytilidae. The record is from RNAcentral.